RNAcentral lists this ribosomal RNA (1269 nucleotides) under Triticum aestivum (bread wheat). RNAcentral's name for it is "partial small subunit ribosomal RNA". The record is from RNAcentral. Lineage: Eukaryota; Viridiplantae; Streptophyta; Magnoliopsida; Poales; Poaceae.
AUGGCGACAUCACUGGAGGAGGAGCAGGCUGCGGCGGCGGCGGCGGCAGACAAUCUUGAUGAGGAGGUGGAGCAGAGGGAACAGGGCGAGGAGGAGGCCACGCCGGUGGUGCUGAAGAAGGGGCCGUGGACGACGGCGGAAGACGCCUUGCUGGUGAACCACGUGCGGCAGCACGGCGAGGGCAACUGGAACGCCGUGCAGCGCAUCACCGGGCUCCUGCGCUGCGGCAAGAGCUGCCGGCUGCGCUGGACCAACCACCUCCGCCCCAACCUCAAGAAGGGCGCCUUCUCGCCGGACGAGGAGCUCCUCGUCGCGCAGCUCCACGCCCAGCUCGGCAACAAGUGGGCCCGCAUGGCCACCCAUCUCCCGGGAAGGACGGACAACGAGAUCAAGAACUACUGGAACACGAGGGCGAAGCGGAGGCAGCGCGCCGGUCUGCCCAUGUACCCGCCGGAGGUGCAGCUCCAGCUCGCGAUCACCAAGCGCUGCCGGUACACCGACUUCUCGCCCCCGCAGCAAUCAGCGGGAACCAAUGUCCUGGACGCCACCGAUGCGGGGUAUACCAGCGCCCGCCCGCCGCCGCUCGACCUUGCCGGGCAGCUCGCCAUGGCCAACCAGCCGGUGCAGUUCCUCUCCCAGACGCCCUUCUCCGCGCCGUCUUCCCCGUGGGUGAAGCCGUCGUUCGCGCGCAACGCGCGCUACUUCCAGUUUCCGCAUUCAUCGCCCGUGUCGCCGACGACGCCGGAGCUGUCGUUGGGCCACCGCCUGCCCGGCGGCGACCGGACCCGGUUCACUCCUCUCUCUCCGUCUCCGGGAGCCAAGGUGGAGCUCCCUUCGAACCAAUUGCGCCCGGCGUCACCAGCCACCGCUACAGCCGACAACGGCGGCGGCUUGGGCGAGGAUCAGCAGAACCUCGAGGCGAUGCUGCAGGAGCUGCAUGAUGCCAUCAAGAUCGAGCCGCCGAAGCACCUGAGCGGCCACGCCGAGCAGAACGGCGCCAGUGGUGGCAACAAAUCGGAGGGCGAACUACUCAAAGAUGAUGAUGACAUCGGCACACUGUUCGACAUGAUUAUACCGAAGGGCUUCCCGAUGACGGAGCCCGCACCACCGACCGUGGGGCCCAACCACUCUGGCGGCUCGAUCUCGCAACAUGGCAGCGACGACCACAACGUCAACCUCAGUGUGGAUCAUCUCCUGGUCAUGUCAUCGGAGCAGGACUGGGUCCUCGAUGGGGCCUGCCAGUGGAACAACAUGUCCGGCAUCUGCUGA